RNAcentral lists this ribosomal RNA (305 nucleotides) under uncultured bacterium. RNAcentral describes it as "bacterial SSU rRNA". It matches the Rfam family "Bacterial small subunit ribosomal RNA", at positions 333 to 630 of the family's 1533-position model. The record is from RNAcentral.
GAAACCCUACGGGAGGCAGCAGUAGGGAAUCUUCCACAAUGGGCGAAAGCCUGAUGGAGCAACGCCGCGUGGGUGAAGAAGGUCUUCGGAUCGUAAAACCCUGUUGUUAGAGAAGAAAGUGCGUGAGAGUAACUGUUCACGUUUCGACGGUAUCUAACCAGAAAGCCACGGCUAACUACGUGCCAGCAGCCGCGGUAAUACGUAGGUGGCAAGCGUUAUCAGGAUUUAUUGGGCGUAAAGGGAACGCAGGCGGUCUUUUAAGUCUGAUGUGAAAGCGUUAGGCUUAACCGGAGGAGUGCAUUGGA